RNAcentral lists this long non-coding RNA (211 nucleotides) under Prunus persica (peach). RNAcentral's name for it is "long non-coding RNA (PPER_LNC005731)". The record is from RNAcentral. Lineage: Eukaryota; Viridiplantae; Streptophyta; Magnoliopsida; Rosales; Rosaceae.
UGUGCACUUUCUUGACAUCUUAUACUACCGUAAAACUUGCAAAAUUGAAAAUUCAUCAAAUGUUGGAUAUACUUUAAAAAUAGUUAGAUUUGUAGAGUUACUAAUUUUAUUCACAAAAAUCUGGUCACCGAAGACUCGAUCUAAAAUUAGUAAUUUUAUAUCACAGCACCGGCCUAGCUCUGGUAAGAAAAAAACGUGUGUAAGAGACACA